RNAcentral lists this ribosomal RNA (430 nucleotides) under uncultured bacterium. RNAcentral's name for it is "bacterial SSU rRNA". It matches the Rfam family "Bacterial small subunit ribosomal RNA", at positions 917 to 1344 of the family's 1533-position model. The record is from RNAcentral.
GGACCCGCACAAGUAGUGGAGCAUGUGGUUUAAUUCGAAGAUACGCGCAGAACCUUACCAACACUUGACAUGUUCGUCGCGACUUUAAGAGAUUAAAGUUUUCGGUUCGGCCGGACGAAACACAGGUGCUGCAUGGCUGUCGUCAGCUCGUGUCGUGAGAUGUUGGGUUAAGUCCCGCAACGAGCGCAACCCUCACUUUUAGUUGCCAUCAUUAAGUUGGGCACUCUGAAAGAACUGCCAGUGAUAAGCUGGAGGAAGGUGGGGAUGACGUCAAGUCCUCAUGGCCCUUACGUGUUGGGCUACACACGUGCUACAAUGGUAUCUACAACAGGAAGCAAGACUGCGAAGUUAAGCAAAUCCCUCAAAAGCCGUCUCAGUUCGGAUUGUACUCUGCAACUCGAGUGCAUGAAGGUGGAAUCGCUAGUAAUCG